AGUGAACGCUGGCGGUAGACCUAACACAUGCAAGUCGAACGGCAGCACAGUAAGAGCUUGCUCGUACGGGUGGCGAGUGGCGGACGGGUGAUGAAUACAUCGGAAUCUACUUUUUCGUGGGGGAUAACGGAGGGAAACUUACGCUAAUACCGCAUACGACCUACGGGUGAAAGCAGAGGAUCUUCGGACCUUGCGCGAUUGAAUGAGCCGAUGUCGGAUUAGCUAGUUGGCGAGGUAAAGGCCCACCAAGGCGACGAUCCGUAGCUGGUCUGAGAGGAUGAUCAGCCACACUGGAACUGAGACACGGUCCAGACUCCUACGGGAGGCAGCAGUGGGGAAUAUUGGACAAUGGGCGCAAGCCUGAUCCAGCCAUACCGCGUGAGUGAAGAAGGCCUUCGGGUUGUAAAGCCCUUUUGUUGGGAAAGAAAAGCAGCAGGUUAAUACCCCGCUGUUAUGACGGUACCCAAAGAAUAAGCACCGGCUAACUUCGUG
RNAcentral lists this ribosomal RNA (492 nucleotides) under uncultured bacterium. RNAcentral describes it as "partial 16S ribosomal RNA". It matches the Rfam family "Bacterial small subunit ribosomal RNA", at positions 29 to 507 of the family's 1533-position model. The record is from RNAcentral.